Molecule: ribosomal RNA, 129 nt
Filed under: Metabacillus litoralis
Lineage: Bacteria; Bacillati; Bacillota; Bacilli; Caryophanales; Bacillaceae
Description: Bacillus litoralis partial 23S ribosomal RNA
Rfam family: Bacterial large subunit ribosomal RNA
Source: RNAcentral
UCAAGAUGAGAUUUCCCAUAGCGUAAGCUAGUAAGAUCCCUGAAAGAUGAUCAGGUUGAUAGGUCUGAGGUGGAAGCGCGGUGACGUGUGGAGCUGACAGAUACUAAUCGAUCGAGGACUUAACCUAUU